Molecule: long non-coding RNA, 2005 nt
Filed under: Musa acuminata (dwarf banana)
Lineage: Eukaryota; Viridiplantae; Streptophyta; Magnoliopsida; Zingiberales; Musaceae
Description: long non-coding RNA (MACU_LNC003800)
Source: RNAcentral
CACACACACACACACACAGCAGAAUCUUAACCGUAACUUAGCUGAAAUAAACACAAAUGAUGACAACAAAACUUUAGCAUGGCACAAAUAGCUGUUAUGUUCCUAAAAGAAUUCUGGCACUUUGAACCAUUCAUGCGAUAUUAAGAAUCCCUCUUUGGAAAAGUAUCAUAAAUUAGUUGGAAAAAACUGACUUUAUCACCUUGAAACAAGUAAUAGUAAUUGACAAUGCAACACAUCUUCGAAAUCUGGAAUAAAACAGAAAAAUUAAAUAAAUUAAAUUCAAGGUAUACAUCAGGAAGAAACAUGGCAUCUGAUGAAAAUUCUCUUCUCCUAGUGAAAAGAAGGUGGCUUAGUCUUGAAUUAAGAAAGUUCAAUUAAUAGGACUUUACAAUUAUUUGUAAUGCUAGCUUAUUUCUUGUUCACCAGUAUUCUAAGUUCCUAAAAAGUUUUAAAGGCUGAAGUUGAAUGAAAGAUUAGAAAUGAUUCCCAAGGAAACAAAAAGAACCAGGUGUUUAGUUAAUUUUUCUCAUCUAAUAAAGUCAAUAAGCUGGCCUAAUGGCAAAUAGGAAAAAAGAAAAUCAACUAAUUACCAUCAUGUGAUACAUUUUAACCUAUUGAUGACAAUCACUAAUUACCAACUAAUGAAUGUGUUCUAAUGCUGUUGUUUGAUUAAACCACAGGAGAGGUUGAUAUACGACAACAUCAUUGACGACUAGUUCUUUCUAGUUUCUACUACUAUGUCACUUAAGUCAAGCAUGGAGGAAGAACUAAAAUACAUACAUCUAGUCCUAAGGAUAUGGUACAUUUCCAGAUCUUAAACAUAUAACACAUGCAUAUUAUUAAGGAUGACUGUCUUUUCCAUACAAAGAAUGAAAAUGAUUAUGCUCUGUUUGAUCAACACUACUUGGUUCUUUUACUCUGACAAAAAAAAAAAAGAGAUGCUAGAGAUGGGAUUAACGGGGACCUCCUUUGAUGCAUUAGUCCCGCUAAGCAUGUAAUGAAUGAGUAGAAGGUUCAUGAUUAGUAUUAAUAAAAAGUAAAUACAGUACUUAGAAGGCCCUUUCUGUAUAUAUGAUCGAACAAGAAAUUCCAAUGAAGACUCUUAAUUUCUAUGUGGUUGGCUUAAAAUGAUUAGUGGAGUACCAUUAAUGGAUGAUCCUGCUAGUAAUGUCUGCUAGGUAGGUGGAGGGACGUCAAUAGGAAACAAUUACAUAAUUAAAAAUAUCAAAACUCUUAAAAUGAUGAAACAUCAGUUAAAUAAUAUUGAUCUUGAAUUAAGUUUUUAUACUUGAUGUGCACAACUAAACUACAAAAAAAAAUUACAUUUAUGAAACAUUAAAAUCGUUUACAAAUGUUGUGCUAAAUCAAGUUGCCAUGAGCCCUGCUGGCUAGCAGAAUUCACUCCCAACCCCUCCACAAAUUCCUUGCACCUCCUGUUGUUACUUUAAAUAAGAUUAUCAAAGAUAAUAAUAGUUCAAACAAUUCUAUCCCUUUUUGGGUUUACACAUCUCCUAACACUGAACCAUGUUAAAUUUCCCUAAGAUGUCUACUAAAAUGGCAACUAUCAGGUGAGUAAUGAUGUAGGACAAGUAACACAGAACUUCUUUUUGAUGAAAGAGAGAUAGAAAGAGAAAACAGAAAUAAUAAUUGAAAGAUAAUAGAAAAAACUUGGAUAAUUACCAGACUUGCUCUGGCUCAAGGUCUCAGGAUGAAGAUCUCACAUCUCCGCACGUCUCGCAUGUGGAUGAUGGAAUCAUUCCAUCGAAAAAGCAACUUGUGGUAUUGCACCACUCACACACAACGUGGGAAAAGAACUCAAUUCAUUGAUUCAUUUCUGAUUGAUGCAUUGCAAUUUUCUAGCCCCUUUUUACAGGCUGAAGUACAAAAAUAAAAAACAAAUAAAACAUUUUCAAUUGUAUUAAAUCAAAUAUGUGAUAUCCUUUUUUCUUUGACGAAGAUAAUAUUUUUUAUUUUAUUUGAGACAUAAUCUUCAUCUCAUGAUGAU